Molecule: long non-coding RNA, 6456 nt
Filed under: Triticum aestivum (bread wheat)
Lineage: Eukaryota; Viridiplantae; Streptophyta; Magnoliopsida; Poales; Poaceae
Description: long non-coding RNA (TAES_LNC025887)
Source: RNAcentral
UCCUUUACAUUUACAAAAUAGCUCAAAUAAAUUAUUUUCAAGUCGCCUUCCCACCCACUGGUCCAGCCUAGUCUGGGAUGACUACAUCUUUUGAACAGGCUUGAUUUACAUCAUCUGCAUCUAAAAAUAGAGAAAGCAAGGAUGAGUACGACAAGUCAUACUCAGCAAGCAGAUACUUCACUAUUCAACAAGAGUAGAAUUUAAGGAUAUUGAUACAGUAACAACGGGUUGACUAUAUCUAAAGGAGCAUAAAUAACGUGACAAUUUGCUGGAGCCAAUUUAAUUGGAAAUAGGUAAAAGAACAACAUAACCGGAUAUAAUGAAAAUGGACCAAGAAAUUAUUGGCGUCACACAUGACCGCAAGCUUCCCAACCCGGGAGUCACAGGGGUGAAAUUUCACACUUUUACGCUCUUAAGAGAGGUACUCCGACGUCGACAGUCUCAACUAGAACCACACAGGCGCUAGUAGAGCAGAGCUCUUGUACCCACUAAGACUCGAACACCUGAACCUACUGAUGUCGAUCGCUCCCAUGGAUCCAUCAUCGACACGUUCCCGAACAAGGUCCGUCCUUAGUGGAGAACUCAGACAGUCCCAUACCUGAACUGUGACCGGUACAAUACGUUUGCCGUCGUGACACCAAUAUAGAUGGACAGAAUAUGACAUGGGGCUGGAUUAGCUAUAUAGGAUCACUGAAAUAUCAGCCAAGACAAUAAAACCAUGCCUUUACAUGAGUUCCUCUCGUAUCAGACUUUCCAUCAACAAAUGGAUCAUCAAGGACAACAUGUCCUUCAACAAAUGGAUUAUCAAAGACAACAUGUCCUCAAAUAAAACAGGAAUCAACAGAGGAUAAAUAAGAUUCAAGGUCUAGUAACAUAAUCAGAACGAUGAUCACAGGAGACAACAAUAAGAUAGGAUUCAAGAAGUUAGCAAAGUAACCACUUGCCUCGGAUAAUAUGAUUUGUCCUUUAGAAUAAUAUUCUGCCAGAAGAUGAAACUCCAAUACUCCAUCAUCUUUGUAUAGAAUCUGACGAACACACAUAUACUAAUAUUCUUCUGACGUAUGGCUCCGUUCUUCCCUCUAGCAGCAUCUACACGAUCUAUAUAUCUUCAAACAUGGACACAUGCAUACUUGUAUUCUUCAUCUCUCUUCUCUUCGCUCUCUCUCCGCUGGUAUGCUCUAUUUCUCUCAUGCUCUCACUCUUGGUGAUGAGGAUGUGCAAAACGAGUAGCAGCAGCUAUUUAUAGAUGGUGAGCCCAGAGUGAACUCAGCCGAGCUAUUCUUGAAGCACACGAUCAUCUGGACUCUACCUAUUACGUGGCAAGCAUGCAUUGGUGUACGUGGAGAACCUGGUAAAAGAUCAAGCCGCAAUGGCCUUUGACCCUUGCCCCUUGACCCUUCGAACUGCUGCCCCUUUUGCUUGUGCAAAAGCCAAACAAACCUGACCACUAUACAAAACCUCCACGUAGAAAUUUCUUGGUCCUAAAUAUCUAAGGGUGCUGCCAGCACAACCUAGCUUCAUCUAGUACCAGGCCACGUUGGCCCUCUCAUGCAUAGGAUUUUACUUAGCUUGUAAGCAUAGUACAUACGUGUGCAUUCUCAUCAUUACAUGCAUGCACAUCUUCUAGUAUUUGGCCAUCUUCUCAUUACUAGCUAGCCUGUACUACCCACUAAUUUGUAUUACUUUGCAUGCUAAUGCCUUAACGUGAGUGCAUGGAUGCUAGUCUAUGUGCAUAUAUACAUACUUACUUAGUGUGUAAUUAUAUCCAUCUAAUAUUUUAUGCAUGCAAAAAUUACAGUUCUAUUUUAAUCACUUGAAUCAAUAAUCUAGCAUAUCUUAUUUGCUCAAAUAUUUUAUGUUAAACAUAUAAUAGAAAUUUAAUUACUCAUCUUAAUUUAAAUUAAUAACCCUAAAAAAUCAGGGUUAUUACAUCCUUCCCACCUUAUAAGAAUUUCGUCCCCGAAAUUCAUUUCCACUAUUUUGUUAGUGGCCAAAUAUCCUCCGAUAAUAAUUGAGAUAGCUUAUUUGAUGUGUGCUGAAUAAUUAAUUAAUAAAAUGCAAACAUGAUUUGCAAUCUUUUCUCCUUUUCAUGGAUAUAUCUGCUAUAACAUAAGUUGGCAACACUAGUCAUUUUAUUUGGUAAGGUCAUUAUCAAAAAGGAUAGAUGGUGGUAUAGUAAUUGUCCCAUUAUUAGAUAAAUAUCACCAGUUGUCUUAAACAAGAAAAUCUACACAAAUAACAAGUCAUGAGUCAACAAAAUGUCUAUUUAUUUCCCAUGCAUCCUCAAAUUUCACCAAUAAUAUGUACGCUAUAUUUUUAUUUGCCUGGAUAUCUGCCAAAAAUAUUUGUGAGUAACAACACACAAACAAGUUGAGACAAGGUAUGAAAAUAAAAUCUUCAUACCUGUCACACAACACAAAUAUAUUCGACGAUCUACCCGUUUAUCCCAACGCAACCUAAAACCUAGAGCUUUGAUACCACUUUAACUGUCACGCCCCGAGACCGGGCCUAGGCGAGACAGCUGACGCGCGCCUAUAGACCAGGGGCCUAUAGUCACGCAAGGCGUGAUUAAGCAGGCAUAAACCAACAGUGGAUCACAAAAGCUCAUAUAUCUACUUUACAAGUCCUUUACAUUUACAAAAUGGCUCAAAUAAAUUAUUUUCAAGUCGCCUUCCCACCCACUGGUCCAGCCUAGUCUGGGAUGACUACAUCUUUUGAACAGGCUUGAGUUACAUCGUCUGUAUCUAAAAAUAGAGAAAGCAGGGAUGAGUACGACAAGUCAUACUCAGCAAGCAGAUACUUCACUAUUCAACAAGAGUAGAAUUUAAGGAUAUUGAUACAGUAACAGCGGGUUGACUAUAUCUAAAGGAGCAUAAAUAACGUGACAAUUUGCUGGAGACAAUUUAAUUGGAAAUAGGUAAAAGAACAACAUAACCGGAUAUAAUGAAAAUGGACCAAGAAAUUAUUGGCGUCACACAUGACCGCAAGCUUCCCAACCCGGGAGUCACAGGGGUGAAAUUUCACACUUUUACGCUCUUAAGAGGGGUACUCCAACGUCGACAGUCUCAACUAGAACCACACAGGCGCUAGUAGAGCAGAGCUCUUGUACCCACUAAGACUCGAACACCUAAACCUACUGAUGUCGAUCGCUCCUAUGGAUCCAUCACCGACACGUUCCCGAACAAGGUCCGUCCUUAGUGGAGAACUCAGACAGUCCCAUACCUGAACUGUGACCGGUACAAUACGUUUGCCGUCGUGACACCAAUAUAGAUGGACAGAAUAUGACAUGGGGCUGGAUCAGCUAUAUAGGAUCACUGAAAUAUCAGCCAAGACAAUAAACCCAUGCCUUUACAUGAGUUCCUCUCGUAUCAGACUUUCCAUCAACAAAUGGAUCAUCAAGGACAACAUAUCCUUCAACAAAUGGAUUAUCAAAGACAACAUGUCCUCAAAUAAAACAGGAAUCAACAGAGGAUAAAUAAGAUUCAAGGUCUAGCAACAUAAUCAGAACGAUGAUCAGAGGAGACAACAAUAAGAUAGGAUUCAAGAAGUUAGCAAAGUAACCACUUGCCUCGGAUAAUAUGAUUUGUCCUUUAGAAUAAUAUUCUGCCAGAAGAUUAAACUCCAAUACUCCAUCAUCUUUGUAUAGAAUCUGACAAACACGCAUAUACUAAUAUUCUUCUCACGUAUGGCUCCGUUCUUCCCUCCAGCAGCAUCUACACGAUCUAUAUAUCUUCAAACAUGGACGCAUGCAUACUUGUAUUCUUCAUCUCUCUUCUCUUCGCUCUCUCUCCGCUGGUAUGCUCUAUUUCUCUCAUGCUCUCACUCUUGGUGAUGAGGAUGUGCAAAACGAGUAGCAGCAGCUAUUUAUAGAUGGUGAGCCCAGAGUGAACUCAGCCGAGCUGUUCUUGAAGCACACGAUCAUCUGGACACUACCUAUUAUGUGGCAAGCAUGCAUUGGUCUACGUGGAGAACCUGGUAAAAGAUCAAGCCGCAAUGGCCUUUGACCCUUGCCCCUUGACCCUUCGAACUGCUGCCCCUUUUGCUUGUGCAAAAGCCAAACAAACCUGACCACUAUACAAAACCUCCACGUAGAAAUUUCUUGGUCCUAAAUAUCUAAGGGUGCUGCCAGCACAACCUAGCUUCAUCUAGUACCAGGCCACGUUGGCCCUCUCAUGCAUAGGAUUUUACUUAGCUUGUAAGCAUAGUACAUACGUGUGCAUUCUCAUCAUUACAUGCAUGCACAUCUUCUAGUAUUUGGCCAUCUUCUCAUUACUAGCUAGCCUGUACUACCCACUAAUUUGUAUUACUUUGCAUGCUAAUGCCAUAACGUGAGUGCAUCGAUGCUAGUCUAUGUGCACAUAUACAUACUUACUUAGUGUGUAAUUAUAUCCAUCUAAUAUUUUAUGCAUGCAAAAAUUACAGUUCUAUUUUAAUCACUUGAAUCAAUAAUCUAGCAUAUCUUAUUUGCUCAAAUAUUUUAUGUUAAACAUAUAAUAGAAAUUUAAUUACACAUCUUAAUUUAAAUUAAUAACCCUAAAAAAUCAGGGUUAUUACAUCCUUCCCACCUUAUAAGAAUUUCGUCCCCAAAAUUCAUUUCCACUAUUUUGUUAGUGGCCAAAUAUCCUCCGAUAAUAAUUGAGAUAGCUUAUUUGAUGUGUGCUGAAUAAUUAAUUAAUAAAAUGCAAACAUGAUUUGCAAUCUUUUCUCCUUUUCAUGGAUAUAUCUACUAUAACAUAAGUUGGCAACACUAGUCAUUUUAGUUGGUAAGGUCAUUAUCAAAAAGGAUAGAUGGUGGUAUAGCAAUUGUCCCAUUACUAGAUAAAUAUCACCAGUUGUCUUAAACAAGAAAAUCUACACAAAUAACAAGUCAUGAGUCAACAAAAUGUCUAUUUAUUUCCCAUGCAUCCUCAAAUUUCAUCAAUAAUAUGUACGCUAUAUUUUUAUUUGCCUGGAUAUCUGCCAAAAAUAUUUGUGAGUAACAACACACAAACAAGUUGAGACAAGGUAUGAAAAUAAAAUCUUCAUACCUGUCACACAACACAAAUAUAUUCGACGAUCUACCCGUUUAUCCCAACGCAACCUAAAACCUAGAGCUCUGAUACCACUUUAACUGUCAUGCCCCGAGACCGGGCCUAGGCGAGAUAGCCGCCGCGCGCCUAUAGACCAGGGGCCUAUAGUCACGCAAGGCGUGAUUAAGCAGGCAUAAACCAACAAUGGAUCACAAAAGCUCAUAUAUUUACUUUACAAGUCCUUUACAUUUACAAAUUGGCUCGAAUAAAUUAUUUUCUAGUCUCCUUCCCACCCACUGGUCCAUCCUAGUCUGGGAUGACUACAUAUUUUGAACAGGCUUGAGUUACAUCGUCUGUAUCUAAAAAUAGAGAAAGCAAGGAUGAGUACGACAAGUCAUACUCAGCAAGCAGAUACUUCACUAUUCAACAAGAGUAGAAUUUAAGGAUAUUGAAACAGUAACAAUGGGUUGACUAUAUCUAAAGGAGCAUAAAUAACGUGACAAUUUGCUGGAGCCAAUUUAAUUGGAAAUAGGUAAAAGAACAACAUAACCGGAUAUAAUGAAAAUCGACCAAGAAAUUAUUGGCGUUACACAUGACCGCAAGCUUCCCAACCCGGGAGUCACUGGGGUGAAAUUUCACACUUUUACGCUCUUAAGAGGGGUACUCCGACGUCGACAGUCUCAACUAGAACCACACAGGCGCUAGUAGAGCAGAGCUCUUGUACCAACUAAGACUCGAACACCUGAACCUACUGAUGUCGAUCGCUCCGAUGGAUCCAUCACCGACACGUUCCUGAACAAGGUCCGUCCUUAGUGGAGAACUCAUACAAUCCCAUACCUGAACUGUGACCGGUACAAUACGUUUGCCGUCGUGACACCAAUAUAGAUGGACAAAAUAUGACAUGGGGCUGGAUCAGCUAUAUAGGAUCACUGAAAUAUCAGCCAAGACAAUAAACCCAUGCCUUUACAUGAGUUCCUCUUGUAUCAGACUUUCCAUCAACAAAUGGAUCAUCAAGGACAACAUAUCCUUCAACAAAUGGAUUAUCAAAGACAACAUGUCCUCAAAUAAAACAGGAAUCUACAGAGGAUAAAUAAGAUUCAAGGUCUAGCAACAUAAUUAGAACGAUGAUCACAGGAGACAACAAUAAGAUAGGAUUCAAGAAGUUAGCAAAGUAACCACUUGCCUUGGAUAAUAUGAUUUGUCCUUUAGAAUAAUAUUCUGCCAGAAGAUUAAACUCCAAUACUCCAUCAUCUUUGUAUAGAAUCUGACGAACACGCAUAUACUAAUAUUCUUCUGACGUAUGGCUCCGUUCUCCCCUCCAGCAGCAUCUACACGAUCUAUAUAUCUUCAAACAUGGACGCAUGCAUACUUGUAUUCUUCAUCUCUCUUCUCUUCGCUCUCUCUCGGCUGGUAUGCUCUAUUUCUCUCAUGCUCUCACUCUUGGUGA